GCCUUCGUGGUGCAACGGUAGAGCACUCGGUGUGUAUUCGAGAGGUCCAGGUUCGAGUCCUGGCGUGGGCA
This 71-nucleotide transfer RNA is filed under the name Stegodyphus mimosarum. It matches the Rfam family "tRNA". From Rfam's summary of the family: Transfer RNA (tRNA) molecules are approximately 80 nucleotides in length. The record is from Rfam by way of RNAcentral. Lineage: Eukaryota; Metazoa; Arthropoda; Arachnida; Araneae; Eresidae.